GGAAGUAAAAGUCGUAACAAGGUUUCCGUAGGUGAACCUGCGGAAGGAUCAUUACUGAUUUAGCGAACCGAGCGUUAGCGAGGUUUUGCGAUCAACUUGUAUUUAAAACCCACUCUUCAAUGUAUAAAAUUUGUAUUAAUGAUAAAUUAAAAGAUCACUUUCAACAACGGAUCUCUUGGCUCUCGCAUCGAUGAAGAACGUAGCGAAGUGCGAUAAGUAAUGUGAAUUGUAGUAUUCCGUGAAUCAUCGAACCUUUGAACGCAUAUUGCACUUUCUGGUAUUCCGGAAAGUAUGCCUGUUUGAGGGUCAGUUAAAUAAAAAUCGGUGUUGUUGCCGCUUUCCGUGGUGACGCGUCGGAAUUGAGUCGUCUUCGGUUAAGUGACUUAAAAUUUUAUAUGAUUUUCGAACGUAUUUAAAUUUAUUUGAACGUUUGAUAUCGAAUGCUUAUUAGGUUCGGUCAUCCUCAUGACUCGCGCCUAUAAUUUUUCAUUAAAUGACCUCAAAUCAGGUAAGAAUACCCGCUGAACUUAAGCAUAUCAAUAAGCGGAGGA
RNAcentral lists this ribosomal RNA (551 nucleotides) under uncultured Glomus. RNAcentral describes it as "eukaryotic LSU rRNA". The stretch from base 156 to 309 matches the Rfam family "5.8S ribosomal RNA". Lineage: Eukaryota; Fungi; Glomeromycota; Glomeromycetes; Glomerales; Glomeraceae. The record is from RNAcentral.